AUCUGAAUUGGACUUGGUCCUACUAAGAUACGAUCUCUGCUGAACCAUGCUUGUUGAUCUACGCAUGAUUAACCAGAACAAUAUGGGUGCUUUGCAUUGCUGGUGUUGAGCAUCCAUCACUGCGAUAUCAAAUCACAAUAUUUACUUGCAGGUUUUCAAGUCCCAGCGAGGACAGAUCAAUUGAUUAGUUCCGAUUACCUAUUGGUGGAAACAAUCAUGUGUUUGGGCUUAAAAUCAUGACUUGCUUUAACCGAUCACAGGGAAAAGAGAUCGCGGCAACCCAACCAAGCCUGAUUUACAAUGUGCGUCGGUAUAAAGCUUGUGGUUAUGUCAAGUAAAAA
RNAcentral lists this long non-coding RNA (341 nucleotides) under Daucus carota (carrot). RNAcentral's name for it is "long non-coding RNA (DCAR_LNC001890)". Lineage: Eukaryota; Viridiplantae; Streptophyta; Magnoliopsida; Apiales; Apiaceae. The record is from RNAcentral.